Molecule: small RNA, 478 nt
Filed under: Pan troglodytes (chimpanzee)
Lineage: Eukaryota; Metazoa; Chordata; Mammalia; Primates; Hominidae
Description: retained intron
Source: RNAcentral
GAAACAGCAGAGACUCAGUGAUGGCUGUCACGACCGGAGGGGGGACUCGCAGCCUUACCAGGCACUUAAGUAUUCAUCGAAGAGUCACCCCAGUAGCGGUGAUCACAGACAUGAAAAGAUGCGAGACGCCGCAGAUCCUUCACCACCAAAUAAAAUGUUGCGGAGAUCUGAUAGUCCUGAAAACAAAUACAGUGACAGCACAGGUCACAGUAAGGCCAAAAAUGUGCAUACUCACAGAGUUAGAGAGAGGGAUGGUGGUGAGUAUCUUUCUUGUUGAAACUUUGACAUAAUUUUUAACAAUAGGUCUAUAUAAAAGGCGGCAGUAGUAUUUCUAGCUUGAAGAAGUUACUGUUCAGUUAUGUCAUUAAAAUAUUUUAAUCCUAUCAUUUUUUUUUUUUUUUUUUUUUACUCUGAACAAGUUACUGUAGAAACAAGAUGCUGAUGUGAGCAUCUAAAAAGUGGACUCUUAAGGCCAGGC